RNAcentral lists this transfer RNA (82 nucleotides) under Ixodes scapularis (black-legged tick). It matches the Rfam family "tRNA". From Rfam's summary of the family: Transfer RNA (tRNA) molecules are approximately 80 nucleotides in length. The record is from Rfam by way of RNAcentral. Lineage: Eukaryota; Metazoa; Arthropoda; Arachnida; Ixodida; Ixodidae.
GCAGUCGUGGGCGAGUGGUUACGGCGAUGGACUAGAAAUCCAUUCGGGUCUCCCCGCACAGGUUCGAAUCCUAUCGACUCCG